Molecule: long non-coding RNA, 563 nt
Organism: Galeopterus variegatus (Sunda flying lemur)
Lineage: Eukaryota; Metazoa; Chordata; Mammalia; Dermoptera; Cynocephalidae
Exons: 2
Source: RefSeq, a predicted model, not a curated record
AAAGACCUCCAGGAGUACCCGGAUCUCUGACGCCCAACGGACAGCCCUGACUUUUGUUGACUUGUUGCCCUUUGCUACUGCGAUCUGGUUUUUCUACUGAGAUAAAGCGUCUUGUUUCGUUGCCUGUCAUUGUGUCUCCCGUAACUCGUUCAGAUUGCCCAUUGGCUCGUCGUCCAGUACAUCUCCGGGCAGCAAAGAACUAGCCUCAGAUAUGUCAGGAAAAUCUCGGAUGGAGCCCCUUCGUGCUGAAACGGAGAGGUCUGGAGAAAAUCUGAGGGAUUGGAUGGAUUUCGGGUCUUACAGGGAACUGUAUUCAGCUCUAUGUACACAUUAGAACCAUUUGGGGAGUUUAGGGUAGGGCUUGAACAUAGACGCUUUUUACUAAAGGCGUUCCCCUCAUCCCAGCCCGUCUCCACCUCCUAGGUUCUAUUGUGCAAACAGGAUUGACAACUACUGUUCUGUGAUUUUGGGGAACAAGAAAUUGGCCAGGGAAAAGGACUGUGAAAAACUACCUCACGACAUCAGAUAACGGCCCAGAAGUGGAAGAAUGAUUGCUAUAUCUU